AGAGAUGGCUCGAAUGGUUAAGGCAACGGAUUGAAAAUCCGUCAGAGGCGCAAGUUUCUUAGGGGUUCGAAUCCCCUUCUCUCCG
RNAcentral lists this transfer RNA (85 nucleotides) under Hymenobacter polaris. Its description in RNAcentral is "tRNA-Phe". It matches the Rfam family "tRNA". From Rfam's summary of the family: Transfer RNA (tRNA) molecules are approximately 80 nucleotides in length. Lineage: Bacteria; Pseudomonadati; Bacteroidota; Cytophagia; Cytophagales; Hymenobacteraceae. The record is from RNAcentral.